GCAUAUCAAUAAGCGGAGGAAAAGAAACUAACAAGGAUUCCCCUAGUAACGGCGAGUGAAGUGGGAAUAGCUCAAAUUUAAAAUCCUUCGUAAGUUGGAGUUGUAAUUUGAAGAAGCGUUUUCGUCGCCUACGAUUAGCCUAAGUCCUUUGGGAUAGGGCAUCAUGGAGGGUGAGAAUCCCGUAUGGCUUAUCAAGGCGGGUCCCGAUACGCUUUCAAAGAGUCGAGUUGUUUGGGAUUGCAGCUCAAAAUGGGAGGUAAAUUUCUCCUAAGGCUAAAUAUUGGCGAGAGACCGAUAGCGAACAAGUACCGUGAGGGAAAGAUGAAAAGAACUUUGAAAAGGGAGUCAAACAGUACGUGAAAUUGUUGAAAGGGAAACGAUUGAAGUCAGUCGUACAGACUUGAAAUCAGCUUCUCGAGCGUGGGUUCGUCUGCGUUCUUGGGGUGCAUUUUCUCGUAUUGUAGGUUAGCGUCGAUUUUGUUCGUUAUAAAAUGAUUGGAGGAAUGUAGCUUCAUUUUUGAAGUGUUAUAGACUCUGGUAAAUGUAACGAUCGGGAUCGAGGAUUGCAACGGAUACCCUUACGGGCUAUCUGCCUGGCCUCUGGUGUGCUACUCUGGUGUUGAAAGCUUUUGCUUAUGAUGUUGGAGUGUGUGCUCAAAAGGUUAGAGCGGAUUAAAUUCGUUAAGGACGCUGACGUAAUGGCUUUAAACGACCCGUCUUGAAACACGGACC
RNAcentral lists this ribosomal RNA (732 nucleotides) under uncultured Glomus. Its description in RNAcentral is "eukaryotic LSU rRNA". It matches the Rfam family "Eukaryotic large subunit ribosomal RNA", at positions 38 to 667 of the family's 3401-position model. Lineage: Eukaryota; Fungi; Glomeromycota; Glomeromycetes; Glomerales; Glomeraceae. The record is from RNAcentral.